This 1138-nucleotide ribosomal RNA is filed under the name Enterococcus avium. RNAcentral's name for it is "bacterial SSU rRNA". It matches the Rfam family "Bacterial small subunit ribosomal RNA", at positions 18 to 1127 of the family's 1533-position model. The record is from RNAcentral. Lineage: Bacteria; Bacillati; Bacillota; Bacilli; Lactobacillales; Enterococcaceae.
CAUGGCUCAGGACGAACGCUGGCGGCGUGCCUAAUACAUGCAAGUCGAACGCUUUUUCUUUCACCGGAGCUUGCUCCACCGAAAGAAAAGGAGUGGCGAACGGGUGAGUAACACGUGGGUAACCUGCCCAUCAGAAGGGGAUAACACUUGGAAACAGGUGCUAAUACCGUAUAACAAUCGAAACCGCAUGGUUUCGGUUUGAAAGGCGCUUUUGCGUCACUGAUGGAUGGACCCGCGGUGCAUUAGCUAGUUGGUGAGGUAACGGCUCACCAAGGCAACGAUGCAUAGCCGACCUGAGAGGGUGAUCGGCCACAUUGGGACUGAGACACGGCCCAAACUCCUACGGGAGGCAGCAGUAGGGAAUCUUCGGCAAUGGACGCAAGUCUGACCGAGCAACGCCGCGUGAGUGAAGAAGGUUUUCGGAUCGUAAAACUCUGUUGUUAGAGAAGAACAAGGAUGAGAGUAGAAUGUUCAUCCCUUGACGGUAUCUAACCAGAAAGCCACGGCUAACUACGUGCCAGCAGCCGCGGUAAUACGUAGGUGGCAAGCGUUGUCCGGAUUUAUUGGGCGUAAAGCGAGCGCAGGCGGUUUCUUAAGUCUGAUGUGAAAGCCCCCGGCUCAACCGGGGAGGGUCAUUGGAAACUGGGAAACUUGAGUGCAGAAGAGGAGAGUGGAAUUCCAUGUGUAGCGGUGAAAUGCGUAGAUAUAUGGAGGAACACCAGUGGCGAAGGCGGCUCUCUGGUCUGUAACUGACGCUGAGGCUCGAAAGCGUGGGGAGCAAACAGGAUUAGAUACCCUGGUAGUCCACGCCGUAAACGAUGAGUGCUAAGUGUUGGAGGGUUUCCGCCCUUCAGUGCUGCAGCUAACGCAUUAAGCACUCCGCCUGGGGAGUACGACCGCAAGGUUGAAACUCAAAGGAAUUGACGGGGGCCCGCACAAGCGGUGGAGCAUGUGGUUUAAUUCGAAGCAACGCGAAGAACCUUACCAGGUCUUGACAUCCUUUGACCACUCUAGAGAUAGAGCUUCCCCUUCGGGGGCAAAGUGACAGGUGGUGCAUGGUUGUCGUCAGCUCGUGUCGUGAGAUGUUGGGUUAAGUCCCGCAACGAGCGCAACCCUUAUUGUUAGUUGCCAUCAUUUA